Molecule: ribosomal RNA, 312 nt
Filed under: uncultured Lachnospiraceae bacterium
Lineage: Bacteria; Bacillati; Bacillota; Clostridia; Lachnospirales; Lachnospiraceae
Description: bacterial SSU rRNA
Rfam family: Bacterial small subunit ribosomal RNA
Source: RNAcentral
GAUGAACGCUGGCGGCGUGCUUAACACAUGCAAGUCGAACGGAGUAAAAGUUUUCGGAUUUUUACUUAGUGGCGGACGGGUGAGUAACGCGUGGGUAACCUACCUCGAACAGGGGGAUAACGGUUGGAAACGACCGCUAAUACCGCAUAAGCCCACAGUACCGCAUGGUACAGAGGGAAAAGAUUUAUCGGUUUGAGAUGGACCCGCGUCUGAUUAGCCAGUUGGUGGGGUAACGGCCUACCAAAGCAACGAUCAGUAGCCGACCUGAGAGGGUGAUCGGCCACAUUGGGACUGAGACACGGCCCAAACUCC